Molecule: long non-coding RNA, 394 nt
Filed under: Olea europaea (common olive)
Lineage: Eukaryota; Viridiplantae; Streptophyta; Magnoliopsida; Lamiales; Oleaceae
Description: long non-coding RNA (OEUR_LNC008659)
Source: RNAcentral
CGCCUCGAAAAUAAAUGACGAGACACCACUCGAUGAUGAUGGUCAUGGGACUCAUACAGCUAGUACCGCUGCGGGUGUAUUUGUCAGUGGGGCUAGCGUUCUUGGCAAUGCUUAUGGCACUGCAGUUGGAAUGGCACCUCAAGCUCACCUGGCAAUAUACAAGGUGAGCAUAUUUGGCUCGUAGUACAAAAUAGGACUCGACAAUAUGAUAAAUAAGAUUUAACGUCUUUAAUGUCGUAACGUACCAGGUGUGUUUUGGCCCCGACUGCCCUGAAAGUGAUAUAUUAGCUGGACUUGAUGCAGCCAUAGAAGAUGGCGUUGAUGUACUCUCUAUCUCCAUCGGUCAGGAGUCACUGCCAUUUUUCCAAGAUAACACGGCAGUAGCAUCAUUUGC